This is a long non-coding RNA of Canis lupus familiaris (dog), 2630 nucleotides long. RefSeq lists it as uncharacterized. The record is from RefSeq and is a predicted model, not a curated record. NCBI's taxonomy places the organism in Eukaryota, Metazoa, Chordata, Mammalia, Carnivora, Canidae. The transcript is spliced from 3 exons.
CGGGCGCGGGCGCAGUGCACGCUGGGAGCUGUCACUAGGCCCUUCGGCUCCCGGCCUCCGCGUCGCUGCCGCGGUUGCCAGGAGAGCGGCGCCGGCGGGGAGCGGCCGAGCCCACGGCAGAAUUACGAAAGAAAAUCAGGAAACUAAGCGUUUGCCUCACAAGCCCAGAGCUGUGGAAAGACAUAAAUCUCUCAAUUUUCGGUGUUCCUGGCUUUCUUCUACGCAGACAGACCUCGUAUGUUAUCGAUGGAUAGUGUAUGUCGACGUUGUACGCGAAGAAAUUCACCGUCUGGUAAACACAGUGAUUGAGUUGAGCCGACAGAAGUGGCCACAAGGGAAAUCAUAGCUGUAAGAUAAACCUUUGAAGCUAAAGAAAUCUAAAAAUCAGUGAGAACCUUUUAUAUGACAAAGUGAUGACUGUUGAUUCAGGAGUGAUGAAAUGUUGAUGAUAUAUGUCUAUCUGCCAUAGCUCCUAUAAGCAUGGAUAAGGUAAUAAACUUAAGAGAAUAUAAUAAUUCCUUUAUUUCUUUCAUUACCUUUUAAGUUUGAUCUAGGUUUUAAUAUUUCCAUCCUGCAGAAGACAUUUUUGACCUUUUUUUCUUCUGAGGUAGUGAAAAAUUCUCCUCUCAUCGAAAGAGUUUAAUGUGAAUAGGUAGGAAAAUAAAUUACCUACUCUUGUUCUAUUAAAUAUAUCCUGUAUUUCAACUUGUUGUGGUUAUUUUCAGGCUUAUAUCAAUAUUGUGAGCUUAAUGUUUAAAUUACCGUUAUUUCAUGUUCAUGAACAAAGAGUUCAGGUAAAUAGACAAUUUAGUUUGGUGUUUCUUUUUUCCAAAAAAAAAUUUAUCUGAAUGGUAAUACUAGAUUUAUGAGUAUAGACAAUAAUUUGCUAUUCAACCAGAGGUCAGAUUGCUGUUGAUCUAAGGUUAUGGGAUACAGCCUCAAUUUGGAAGUAAGAAAAGAGCACUCCAGAUGAAUAGUCUUUACUUCAUAAAAGACCUUUCACUCAAAUAAGUAGUUUCUUUCCUAUGUCUCUACUGUAAAAUAAAGAAGCAGGAUAGAAGCAGUGCAGAUAAACUUUUUAUUAUUUGAAGGUAACAACGGACUAAUCAGAGAAACUAUAAAAAACACAGCAGUCUUAGUCCUUUAAGUUAUACAGAUAAAUAACCUAACAUUUCCAUUUGCUCUUUUUGUGUGCUGUAUCAGCUACUUGAAACCCUUAGAAUAUUUGUUAGUAUAAUCAAUCAAAUUUUCAAGAUAGCUGGAAUUUUUGUAUAUCGUACACCCUAAAUGUCAUUCCAGUCUGGUGUUAUGCUUUCUGCUUGUCUUCAGUGUGAUACACUUUGCACAGUGACUUUUCAUAUACACUUAACACAUAUACACUUGACCAUAUUUAAAAUUUCCUGGACAAAAUUUUUUCUCUGUAGAAAAAAAUAGAAUAUAAUAUUUGCUUUAAAGUUAGUGUCUGUCAUCUUGGGAAGAAAAAUAAAUAUUUAAAUGACUUCCCAUUUUAUAUAUCAGCAAUUCCAUGAAUGUUACUACCACCCUUAAGUUAGGAGUCCACCUUUAAGCCUGAAGAGGGAUUCCAGCAACAUGAUUAUUUUUAUGGCACCUGUCAUUUUAUUGGAAGGCUAUCUUCAAAGCAUUGUACCCCAAGCCUACCUGAUUCUAUUAAUUUGAGGUUACCUAUUAGUUUUAUGUGAUGUGAUUACUGCUGUGUUAUUAUGUCUUUUAAGUUGGGUGUGGUUUAAAAAGAAAAUAUUCAGUAGGUUGCCUUCUUGUUGAUUGAUUCCUUCACUGUGCAAAAGUUUUUUAUUUUGAUGUGAUCCCAAUAGUUACUGCUUGUCUUCCCAUUGCCAAAAACCACGUAUCUAGAAAAAUGUUGCUAUGAUCAGCAACAAAACUCCAGGUUUUCCAGGGUUUGGUGGGGGUGGGGAAAGGGGAGAGUUAAUCUGUUGGCUGUGAGAGAACCUCCUGGGAUAUGAGAGAGUGGUGGUUAAAGGGGCACUAACCUGGAAAUCUGAGCAUACCUGGACAUUGAUGCUGAUGUGAUCAUGCUUAGGACAUCACUAGCACCAGUCUGGUGUAUAAUCAGAGCACUUACCAGAUGGCUUGUGAAAUCCCCCCUCAGAAGGAAUUGGUGCUAUAAAGAACAGUGUACUGCCCAGGUCCUUGACAGGUGUUAUUAUGACCCAAUUAAAGUUUCUGUGUUUUGGUUAAAAAAAAAAAUAUAUAUCAGACAUUGAUCAUGUCUGUCUAGAUGUCUAUGACAUCUAGACAAUGUCAAUUGACUAUGAUCAAUGUCAGAGAAAUUACUACCUCCGUUUUCUUCUAGGACUUUUAUGGUUUUAGGUAUCACAUUUAGGUCUUUAAUCCAUUUUAGUUUUGUGUAUGAUAUUAGAAAGUAGUAGUUCAGUUUCUUUCUUUUGCAGAUAUCCAUCCCGUUUCCUAGCAUCAUUUAUUGAAGAAACGUUUCCCCAUUGUAUAUUCUUGCCUUUUGUCAUAGAUUAGUUGACCAUUUAACUGUGGGUUUAUUUCUGGGCUCUGUAUUCUGUUCCAUUGAUCUGUAUGUCUGUUUUUGUGUACUAUGCUGUUUUGAUCACAGCAGCUUUGUAGUAAAUCUUGAAAUCUGG